UGGGGAAUAUUGGACAAUGGGCGAAAGCCUGAUCCAGCCAUGCCGCGUGUGUGAAGAAGGUCUUCGGAUUGUAAAGCACUUUAAGUUGGGAGGAAGGGCAUUAACCUAAUACGUUAGUGUUUUGACGUUACCGACAGAAUAAGCACCGGCUAACUCUGUGCCAGCAGCCGCGGUAAUACAGAGGGUGCAAGCGUUAAUCGGAAUUACUGGGCGUAAAGCGCGCGUAGGUGGUUUGUUAAGUUGGAUGUGAAAUCCCGGGCUCAACCUGGGAACUGCAUUCAAAACUGACUGACUAGAGUAUGGUAGAGGGUGGUGGAAUUUCCUGUGUAGCGGUGAAAUGCGUAGAUAUAGGAAGGAACACCAGUGGCGAAGGCGACCACCUGGACUAAUACUGACACUGAGGUGCGAAAGCGUGGGGAGCAAACA
Molecule: ribosomal RNA, 426 nt
Filed under: uncultured bacterium
Lineage: Bacteria
Description: partial 16S ribosomal RNA
Rfam family: Bacterial small subunit ribosomal RNA
Source: RNAcentral